ACUCCCUGGCCAUGGGCAAAGAGGCACCUGAUUGGUGGUGUUGCUCUUAUAUCAGUCAGGGGCAAAGCAGAUGUCUAGUCCUUUGUUCAUCCUAGCUUGAUGCCUGGAUUGGUGG
RNAcentral lists this small nucleolar RNA (115 nucleotides) under Capra hircus (goat). RNAcentral's name for it is "Small nucleolar RNA SNORA48 (ENSCHIG00010018995.1)". It matches the Rfam family "Small nucleolar RNA SNORA48". Rfam says of the family: The snoRNA ACA 48 has been identified to guide pseudouridylation of the residue U3797 in the 28S rRNA subunit. Its host gene EIF4A1 (eukaryotic translation initiation factor 4A1) is shared with U67 and snoRNA mgU6-77 The record is from RNAcentral. Lineage: Eukaryota; Metazoa; Chordata; Mammalia; Artiodactyla; Bovidae.